This 690-nucleotide ribosomal RNA is filed under the name Nosema granulosis. Its description in RNAcentral is "partial small subunit ribosomal RNA". It matches the Rfam family "Microsporidia small subunit ribosomal RNA", at positions 81 to 814 of the family's 1311-position model. Lineage: Eukaryota; Fungi; Microsporidia; Nosematidae. The record is from RNAcentral.
GAACAGCUCAGUAACUCUUAUUUUAUUUGAUGUAUUAGGAUUAUAACUAUGUUAAAUUAUAGAUAACAAUAAUACAAUAAGAAUAAGAUCUAUCAGUUAGUUGUUAAGGUAAUGGCUUAACAAGACUAUGACGGAUAACGGUAUUACUUUGUAAUAUUCCGGAGAAGGAGCCUGAGAGAUUGCUACUAAGUCUAAGGAUUGCAGCAGGGGCGAAACUUGACCUAUGAUAUGAUAUUGAGGCAGUUAUGAGUAGUAUUUUUAAUUAUUGUAGUAUUGUAAGUAUAUACUACAAGAUAAAUCGGAGGGCAAAUCGAGUGCCAGCAGCCGCGGUAAUACUUGUUCCGAUAGUGUGUAUGAUGAUUGAUGCAGUUAAAAAGUCUGUAGUUUAUUAUUAAUAAGCAUUGUGAGGUAUAUUGUAUGGUUAGGAGAGAGAUGAAAUGUGAUAACCCUAACUGGAUGAACAGAAGCGAAAGCUAUAUACUUAAAUGUUUUAUUAGAACAAGGACGUAAGCUAGAGGAUCGAAGAUGAUUAGAUACCAUUGUAGUUCUAGCAGUAAACUAUGUUAAAUCAUAGAUACAUUAUUAAUAUGUAUUUAUGUAAAGAAAUUAAGAUUAUAUUGACUCUGGGGAUAGUAUGAUCGCAAGAUUGAAAAUUAAAGAAAUUGACGGAAGAAUACCACAAGGAGUGGA